This 239-nucleotide ribosomal RNA is filed under the name uncultured bacterium. Its description in RNAcentral is "partial 16S ribosomal RNA". It matches the Rfam family "Bacterial small subunit ribosomal RNA", at positions 333 to 589 of the family's 1533-position model. The record is from RNAcentral.
GUUAGCCUACGGGAGGCAGCAGUGGGGAAUAUUGCACAAUGGGGGAAACCCUGAUGCAGCGACGCCGCGUGGGUGACGAAGUAUUUCGGUAUGUAAAGCCCUAUCAGCAGGGAAGAAGAUGACAGUACCUGACUAAGAAGCCCCGGCUAACUACGUGCCAGCAGCCGCGGUAAUACGUGGGGGGCAAGCGUUAUCCGGAUUUACUGGGUGUAAAGGGAGCGGAGGUGGCAUGGUAAGCC